GUUAGGAAUAUUGGACAAUGGGCGCAAGCCUGAUCCAGCCAUGCCGCGUGAGUGAUGAAGGCCUUCGGGUUGUAAAGCUCUUUAGCCGAUGAUUAUAAUGACUGUAGUCGGAAAAUAAGCCCCGGCUAACUUCGUGCCAGCAGCCGCGGUAAUACGAAGGGGGCGAGCGUUAUUCGGAAUCACUGGGCGUAAAGCGUGCGUAGGCGGCUUUGCAAGUUGGGAGUGAAAGCCCAGGGCUCAACCCUGGAAUUGCUCUCAAAACUGCAAGGCUCGAAUUCGGGAGAGGAUAGCGGAAUUGUCAGUGUAGCAGUGAAAUGCGUAGAUAUUGACAGGAACACCAGUGGCGUAAGCGGCUAUCUGGACCGAUAUUGACGCUGAGGCACGAAAGCGUGGGGAUCAAACAGGAUUAGAUACCCCGGUAGUCC
Molecule: ribosomal RNA, 425 nt
Filed under: uncultured bacterium
Lineage: Bacteria
Description: bacterial SSU rRNA
Rfam family: Bacterial small subunit ribosomal RNA
Source: RNAcentral